This 496-nucleotide ribosomal RNA is filed under the name uncultured bacterium. Its description in RNAcentral is "partial 16S ribosomal RNA". It matches the Rfam family "Bacterial small subunit ribosomal RNA", at positions 29 to 507 of the family's 1533-position model. The record is from RNAcentral.
AUGAACGCUGGCGGCGUGCCUAAUCCAUGCCAGUCGAGCGAACGGACGAGAAGCUUGCUUCUCUGAUGUUAGCGGCGGACGGGUGAGUAACUCGUGGAUAACCUACCUAUAAGACUGGGAUAACUUCGGGAAACCGGAGCUAAUACCGGAUAAUAUUUUGAACCGCAUGGUUCAAAAGUGAAAGACGGUCUUGCUGUCACUUAUAGCUGGAUCCGCGCUGCAUUAGCUAGUUGGUAAGGUAACGGCUUACCAAGGCAACGAUGCAUAGCCGACCUGAGAGGGUGAUCGGCCACACUGGAACUGAGACACGGUCCAGACUCCUACGGGAGGCAGCAGUAGGGAAUCUUCCGCAAUGGGCGAAAGCCUGACGGAGCAACGCCGCGUGAGUGAUGAAGGUCUUCGGAUCGUAAAACUCUGUUAUUAGGGAAGAACAUAUGUGUAAGUAACUGUGCACAUCUUGACGGUACCUAAUCAGAAAGCCACGGCUAACUACGUG